UGGGGAAUAUUGCACAAUGGGCGAAAGCCUGAUGCAGCAACGCCGCGUGAGUGAUGACGGUCUUCGGAUUGUAAAGCUCUGUCUUUGGGGACGAUAAUGACGGUACCCAAGGAGGAAGCCACGGCUAACUACGUGCCAGCAGCUGCGGUAAUACGUAGGUGGCAAGCGUUGUCCGGAUUUACUGGGCGUAAAGGGUGCGUAGGCGGACCUUUAAGUGAGAUGUGAAAUCCCCGAGCUUAACUUGGGGGCUGCAUUUCAAACUGGAGGUCUAGAGUGCAGGAGAGGGGAGUGGAAUUCCUAGUGUAGCGGUGAAAUGCGUAGAGAUUAGGAAGAACACCAGUGGCGAAGGCGACUCUCUGGACUGUAGCUGACGCUGAGGCACGAAAGCGUGGGGAGCAAACAG
RNAcentral lists this ribosomal RNA (403 nucleotides) under uncultured bacterium. RNAcentral describes it as "bacterial SSU rRNA". It matches the Rfam family "Bacterial small subunit ribosomal RNA", at positions 355 to 775 of the family's 1533-position model. The record is from RNAcentral.